RNAcentral lists this ribosomal RNA (624 nucleotides) under Streptomyces sp. Its description in RNAcentral is "bacterial SSU rRNA". It matches the Rfam family "Bacterial small subunit ribosomal RNA", at positions 53 to 695 of the family's 1533-position model. Lineage: Bacteria; Bacillati; Actinomycetota; Actinomycetes; Kitasatosporales; Streptomycetaceae. The record is from RNAcentral.
CCAUGCAGUCGAACGAUGAACCACUUCGGUGGGGAUUAGUGGCGAAGGGGUGAGUAACACGUGGGCAAUCUGCCCUUCACUCUGGGACAAGCCCUGGAAACGGGGUCUAAUACCGGAUAACACUCCCUCUCUCAUGGGUGGGGGUUAAAAGCUCCGGCGGUGAAGGAUGAGCCCGCGGCCUAUCAGCUUGUUGGUGAGGUAAUGGCUCACCAAGGCGACGACCGGUAGCCGGCCUGAGAGGGCGACCGGCCACACUGGGACUGAGACACGGCCCAGACUCCUACGGGAGGCAGCAGUGGGGAAUAUUGCACAAUGGGCGAAAGCCUGAUGCAGCGACGCCUCGUGAGGGAUGACGGCCUUCGGGUUGUAAACCUCUUUCAUCAGGGAAGAAGCGAAAGUGACGGUACCUGCAGAAGAAGCGCCGGCUAACUACGUGCCAGCAGCCGCGGUAAUACGUAGGGCGCAAGCGUUGUCCGGAAUUAUUGGGCGUAAAGAGCUCGUAGGCGGCUUGUCACGUCGGGUGUGAAAGCCCGGGGCUUAACCCCGGGUCUGCAUUCGAUACGGGCUAGCUAGAGUGUGGUAGGGGAGAUCGGAAUUCCUGGUGUAGCGGUGAAAUGCGCAGAU